This 254-nucleotide ribosomal RNA is filed under the name uncultured bacterium. RNAcentral's name for it is "partial 16S ribosomal RNA". It matches the Rfam family "Bacterial small subunit ribosomal RNA", at positions 524 to 776 of the family's 1533-position model. The record is from RNAcentral.
UACGGGGGGAGCAAGCGUUGUUCGGAUUUACUGGGCGUAAAGGGCGCGUAGGCGGCCACCGCAAGUCGACUGUGAAAUCUCCGGGCUUAACCCAGAAAGGUCAGCCGAUACUGCGGGGCUAGAGUGCAGAAGGGGCAACUGGAAUUCUCGGUGUAGCGGUGAAAUGCGUAGAUAUCAGGAGGAACACCGGUGGCGAAGGCGGGUCUCUGGGCCGAUACUGACGCUGAGGAGCGAAAGCGUGGGGAGCGAACAGG